GGGGCGGCUGUGUCUGCGGCUGCAGGACAGAAUAGUGUUUCACCUUUAAAUUUUUUUUACAAUUAGAAAGUGUUUUCAUAUAAACAAAGAGUCAAAAGUGGAAUCUGAUUGUAAAUUUGUUGCUCUGUAUCAAAUAGAUUUAGCAGUUUUUCCAUGAUACUUGAAUCCAAAUUCAGCUGCAAAGUUUCUGUUUGGAAACAAAAGGUUGGAUUUAAAAAAAGAAAGUAUCAAUUAAAAACAAAAAUGGCGUCUACCACUUAAACGGAAACAAUGCGUUCUCUGACAGCAACGCCAACGAGGAGGAGAGCGGAGAGGCGGGGCAGGCCUGCCCCUAUAUGGAAACAGCAGGAUGUACAAAGGAGACAGAAACGGGUCUUUCUAAGGGACAUGGACUCUCUCAGUGGCCAAAGUCCGGAAACACGGAUGACUCCUUCAUGGUGAAGUCGAUGUUUGACCUCAGGGUCAUGGCGGAGGAGGUACAGACACCUCCUCUCUCUGACUCCACCCAGAGGAGGAGGAUGAGGAGAACGGUCGGUGAGGAACCAAAACUUCAGAGGGGCGGAGAGGAGAUGCAGAGCACCACAAGCCUGCAGGACACCCCUGCAGGGGUAAGAGCGGCCCAGUAACAGCCUUUUAUUGUGAAGGAUUUGACCUUCACGUGUCAAUCAAAAGACCACACCCCUCCUACACACACAAGUGAGAUUUUAAAAAUAAAAAGCCAAAAUAAUGAGGUUGAUCGAAUGUCACUCCAGCACAGUUGACUUGGACAUUAAAUCUAAACACAGACCCAAAAUUAUUUAAUCGACAGUAACUUUAGGAAAUAGAAAAAGAAGCAAAAUAAAACAAAAACAAUGUUGCUCUAAUGCUGAGAACAGACUUUGCCGCCAUUCAAAAAACAUAUGAAUGUGGUUUCAGAGUAACCGGAGGAGCAUUUCAUAAACUCUUAU
Molecule: long non-coding RNA, 947 nt
Filed under: Oryzias sinensis (Chinese medaka)
Lineage: Eukaryota; Metazoa; Chordata; Actinopteri; Beloniformes; Adrianichthyidae
Description: lncRNA (ENSOSIG00000018163.1)
Source: RNAcentral